This 422-nucleotide ribosomal RNA is filed under the name uncultured bacterium. RNAcentral's name for it is "partial 16S ribosomal RNA". It matches the Rfam family "Bacterial small subunit ribosomal RNA", at positions 360 to 774 of the family's 1533-position model. The record is from RNAcentral.
AAUUUUGGACAAUGGGGGAAACCCUGAUCCAGCCAUCCCGCGUGUGCGAUGAAGGCCUUCGGGUUGUAAAGCACUUUUGGCAGGGCAGAUAAGGCGCUGGUUAAUACCUGGCUCCGCUGACGGUACCUGCAGAAUAAGCACCGCCUAACUACGUGCCAGCAGCCGUGGUAAUACGUAGGGUGCAAGCGUUAACCGGAAUUACUGGGCGUAAAGCGUGCGAAGGCGGUUCGGAAAGAAGGAUGUGAAAGCCCGGGGCUUAACCUCGGACAGGCAUUCUUAACUGCCGGGCUAGAGUAUGUCAGAGGGGGGUAGAAUUCCACGUGUAGCAGUGAAAUGCGUAGAGAUGUGGAGGAAUACCGAUGGCGAAGGCAGCCCCCUGGGAUAAUACUGACGCUCAUGCACGAAAGCGUGGGGAGCAAACA